UACAGAGGUCUCAAGCGUUGUUCGGAUUCAUUGGGCGUAAAGGGCGCGUAGGCGGCUGCUCAAGUCGGGUGUGAAAGCCCGGGGCUCAACCCCGGAACGGCACCCGAGACUGGGCGGCUCGAGACCGGGAGAGGUGGGUGGAAUACCCAGUGUAGAGGUGAAAUUCGUAGAUAUUGGGUGGAACACCGGUGGCGAAAGCGGCUCACUGGCCCGGUUCUGACGCUGAGGCGCGAAAGCGUGGGGAGCAAACAGG
RNAcentral lists this ribosomal RNA (253 nucleotides) under uncultured bacterium. RNAcentral's name for it is "partial 16S ribosomal RNA". It matches the Rfam family "Bacterial small subunit ribosomal RNA", at positions 524 to 776 of the family's 1533-position model. The record is from RNAcentral.